CCUACGGGGGGCUGCAGUGGGGAAUAUUGGACAAUGGGCGAAAGCCUGAUCCAGCCAUGCCGCGUGUGUGAAGAAGGCCUUCGGGUUGUAAAGCACUUUCAGUGGGGAAGAAAGCCUUGGGGCUAAUACCCUCGAGGAAGGACAUCACCCACAGAAGAAGCACCGGCUAACUCCGUGCCAGCAGCCGCGGUAAUACGGAGGGUGCGAGCGUUAAUCGGAAUUACUGGGCGUAAAGCGCGCGUAGGCGGUCUGAUAAGCCGGUUGUGAAAGCCCCGGGCUCAACCUGGGAACGGCAUCCGGAACUGUCAGGCUGGAGUGCAGGAGAGGAAGGUAGAAUUCCCGGUGUAGCGGUGAAAUGCGUAGAGAUCGGGAGGAAUACCAGUGGCGAAGGCGGCCUUCUGGACUGACACUGACGCUGAGGUGCGAAAGCGUGGGUAGCAAACAGGAUUAGAUACCCCUGUAGUC
Molecule: ribosomal RNA, 465 nt
Filed under: Vreelandella stevensii
Lineage: Bacteria; Pseudomonadati; Pseudomonadota; Gammaproteobacteria; Oceanospirillales; Halomonadaceae
Description: partial 16S ribosomal RNA
Rfam family: Bacterial small subunit ribosomal RNA
Source: RNAcentral